ACUCAAAUGAAUUGACGGGGGCCCGCACAAGCGGCGGAGCGUGCUCUUUAAUUCGUCGCAACGCGAAGAACCUUACCAGGGCUUGACAUGGCGCUGCAGGUCCGGGAAACCGGGCCGCCUUCGAGGGUGCGUCACAGGUGCUGCAUGGCUGUCGUCAGCUCGUGUCGUGAGAUGUUGGGUUAAGUCCCGCAACGAGCGCAACCCUUGGGUCCAGUUGCGAUUUUCUGGACCGACUGCCGGGAGCAAACCGGAGGAAGGUGGGGAUGAUGUCAAGUCAGCAUGGCCCUUACGCCCUGGGCGAGAAGCACGCUACAAUGGCGAGGACAAUGGGUUGCCAAGCGGCAACGUGGAGCUAAUCCCCCAAACCUCGUCUCAGUUCGGAUCGGGGGCUGCAACUCGCCCCCGUGAAGGUGGAGUCGCUAGUAACCGCAGGUCAGCACUACUGCGGUGAAUAUGUUCCCGGGCCUUGUACACACCGCCCGU
Molecule: ribosomal RNA, 483 nt
Filed under: uncultured bacterium
Lineage: Bacteria
Description: partial 16S ribosomal RNA
Rfam family: Bacterial small subunit ribosomal RNA
Source: RNAcentral